Molecule: long non-coding RNA, 926 nt
Organism: Drosophila subpulchrella
Lineage: Eukaryota; Metazoa; Arthropoda; Insecta; Diptera; Drosophilidae
Exons: 3
Source: RefSeq, a predicted model, not a curated record
UGACUACUCUAGGGCAAAAGGAAAAACUCUCCAAAAUAAGGGUUAAAUGGAAGUUGAUUAGAAUUCUACAUGUGAAAUUACCGAAUUGUGGAUUUCUUAUAUAAGAUGGAAACUUAAUCAUAAAAAUCUACUCUAUUCCAAAACACUCUUCACCCAGUGGCUGAGCACGUGCGCCGCGAUAGAAGAAUUGGAAAUCUCUGGAUGACGCAGAUGAAGCCGAGAAACGAGACCCCAGAGAGAGGGAAAGUGAAAAGCAAAUACUCGAACAUCAACAAAAGUCUAAUCAGACCCAGUGCAUUGGCCAAGAAAAACAACAGCCGCAGAUCCCAGUAACAAACGCGUCUCGUCUUUCGUCUUUCGGCGGUUUCGGCUUUUGUUUCGCCGUGGCUGUUUUGACUGACAAAUGAAAAUCUCAAUUGGCUAUCGCCAGACAAUCAAAAGCCAAAGAGACAAACAGCCAUGAGAAGUCGUCUGUCGACGGUUGCAAACUUUACACACAUUACGGCCCGGCCAAAAGAAAUGAAAUGAAAUGACAACCACUGCAGCGCCACAUACGAAAAUGUACUUUCACUCAUCGGUUUUUUUAGUUUUUUGGUCUUUUGAAAACGUCAUCGUGUCGCAGAUAAAAUAACAAACAAACCCCGGCCCCCAAAAAAAGAAAAACAGACAAAUGCAAAGAUCUCAGGCUGAUUGAUGUCAGCCAAAUCUCAUCAGCUGCGUUUUUCCCAGGCUCAAAGGAAAAGGGGUUUUCAUCUGGUCAGGGGUUGUCACUUCAAAGCAGAAUAAAUACGCUUUGUAGCACCUACACUCGCCGCACAUUCCCCACCGCGUGUUUAGAGCAAACUUGCCCAAUUAAAUGCAAAUUUUCUUGUUUUAGAAAUCGAAGCCAGGCACACAGGUACACAGAAAAAAAAAAAGCUGACUAA